Non-coding RNA from Podarcis lilfordi (Lilford's wall lizard), 201 nucleotides. The record is from the annotation of a GenBank genome assembly. NCBI's taxonomy places the organism in Eukaryota, Metazoa, Chordata, Lepidosauria, Squamata, Lacertidae.
UCCCCAAUUGACCAUUAUAACACAUUAAUCCGAAAACUCCAACCGUUAUUGUCAAGACCCAGAAGAUCUAACCAAAAUGACUCCCCUACCAACAAAAAAUGGUUUGACCACGAAUGCACUCAGGCAAAACUUAUACUCAGGGAAUGCUUUAAGGUCUUCCAGCAAAAUCCUAACCCUAUCACUAAAUUGGAGUUACAACUU